GUUGGAAUGUUGCUCAAUGGUAGGGUGCUUGCCUAGCAUGCAUGAGGUCCUGGGUUUGAUACCCAGUACUAGCA
Molecule: transfer RNA, 74 nt
Filed under: Marmota monax (woodchuck)
Lineage: Eukaryota; Metazoa; Chordata; Mammalia; Rodentia; Sciuridae
Description: tRNA.Ala
Source: RNAcentral